UUUCGCAAUGCCCGAAAGGGUGACGAAGCGACGCCGCGUGGGUGAGGGAGGCCUUCGGGUUGUAAAGCCCUGUCAGGAGUUAAGAAAUGUAAGUGCGCUAAUACCGCAUUUAUUUGACGAAGGCUCCAAAGGAAGUCACGGCUAACUCUGUGCCAGCAGCCGCGGUAAUACAGAGGUGGCAAGCGUUGUUCGGAAUUAUUGGGCGUAAAGAGCACGUAGGUGGGUUUGUAAGUCAGAUGUGAAAGCCUCCUGUUCAACGGGAGAAUUGCAUCUGAAACUACAGAUCUUGAGUGUAGGAGGGGAGAAUGGAACUUCUGGUGGAGCGGUGAAAUGCGUAGAUAUCAGAAGGAACGCCGGCGGCGAAAGCGAUUCUCUGGCCUAUUACUGACACUCAGUGUGCGAAAGCUAGGGUAGCAAACGGGAUUAGAUACCCCGGUAGUCCUAGCCGUAAACGAUGGGCACUAAGUAGAGGGGUUUUA
Molecule: ribosomal RNA, 479 nt
Filed under: uncultured anaerobic ammonium-oxidizing bacterium
Lineage: Bacteria
Description: bacterial SSU rRNA
Rfam family: Bacterial small subunit ribosomal RNA
Source: RNAcentral